CAGUCGCCACGGUAAUACGUAGGUGGCAAGCGUUGUCCGGAAUUAUUGGGCGUAAAGGGCUCGCAGGCGGUUUCUUAAGUCUGAUGUGAAAUCCCAAGGCUCAACCUUGGAACUGCCUUUGAUACUGAUUGUCUUGAGUCCGGGAGGGGUGAGUGGAACUGCGAGUGUAGAGGUGAAAUUCGUAGAUAUUCGCAAGAACACCAGUGGCGAAGGCGGCUCACUGGCCCGGAACUGACGCUGAGGCGCGAAAGCGUGGGGAGCAAACAGGAUUAGAUACCCGCGUAGUCCCUGUCUCUUAUAC
RNAcentral lists this ribosomal RNA (301 nucleotides) under uncultured bacterium. Its description in RNAcentral is "partial 16S ribosomal RNA". It matches the Rfam family "Bacterial small subunit ribosomal RNA", at positions 509 to 807 of the family's 1533-position model. The record is from RNAcentral.